RNAcentral lists this non-coding RNA (28 nucleotides) under Bombyx mori (domestic silkworm). The record is from RNAcentral. Lineage: Eukaryota; Metazoa; Arthropoda; Insecta; Lepidoptera; Bombycidae.
UAGCUUAGGCGAUAUAGGGUCUCCUUGA